CCUAUUUACUAAGCUAGUAUUUAUUGUCUUCAAAGCUGAAAUUAGUCAUAAGGUCACUUCCAAAAUAUGAUUUUCGGGUCAUAAUCUUUGAGCUUAUUAGUGCAAAUAUUUUUCUUAUAAAACAAUUUUUCCAAAUUGAUAAAGUUCUCUCAAAUCCAUUAAACGACUUGAGAGUUAUGCUUACUUUAUCAAAACAUAUUUUGUCCUAGAUUAGUCUUGUAGAAAGUUAUGGUGGUUUGUAAAGUGAUAUCUUGAUGCCUUGUAGCUGAAAGUCAUGGUGGGACAUUACUUGAUGAUCAACCAAUAACUCCUACGUUGAAUAUCUAAUUAUAUUCAAACUAAUUUCAUAUGAACAACAUUGGAAAAAGCUUUCAUUAUGUGAAAGGAUCAUAUAAUUCCUAUGUAUGAGUCAAACCCUAUAAAUCAUUCUUUGGAGUUGUCCAUCUUAUGUUAACAUCACAUGUCUUUGAAAUCAUAUUCAACAUAGUCUUUGUUUGCCAAAUUUUUAGGGCUCAAGUUAAUCCUAAUGUCUCUAGUGCAGUUAUCAAUCUAUUAGGAAGAAUUCAAUUCUAAGUCCAACCGGCUCUAGUCAAAAUUGGCUAUGUAGUGCCAAUGAACUUUUAUCAUGCAUGACUGAAAUUCCUUAUAUUCAAAUGAGAUUCCUUUUAUCAUGAAUGUCCACUUUCUAUAACACUUGCUUGAGUAAAUGCUAUUAAAUGUUUACUUUAUAAAGCCCUUGCUUGAGUGGGCACUCUUGAAUGUACACUUUCUGUAGCUCUUGUUUGAAUGAGCGUUGUUGAAUGUCUACUUUUUACAGUGCUUGCUUGAGUAACUACUAUUGAAUCUAAUCCUAUAUUCUACUACGCUCACAUAGACAGUGUUUGAAAACAUUGUUGAAUGAUAUUUUAAGCAUUGUUGUUUUCAAUUCUGGCAUAGUGUAUUUCCCUCAAAUGAAAGGUAAAGUUUAAUGUAAAAAUAGAACUUUUAUCAAAUUAGUUUUUGCUAUCAUAUUUAAUUUUGGUGAUGCAUCUUUUUGGUGGGAAAUAAUUAUGUAAUUGUAUUUUUUUUUGUUAAAUUGAGUCCUCAAAACUAAGAACAAAAUAUCUUCAUUUGAGGUCAUAAAGCUUACGCAACCAAACAUGUCUUAUUUGUGAAUUUGGGAUUGCCUAGCUUAUUUCUGAAUCUUGGACCCCUAUAGAAUUGAACUCAUAAGUGGAUUCAAUGAAUGUGUAUUCAUUGGGUAUGCUAUUAACAACAAGCUUAUAGGUUUUAUAACCUGAACACACAAGUAAUCAUGGAGUCAAAUGAUGUUGAGUUCCAUGAUUAUAGAUUCCCCAUCUAAUUAUGAAAAAAAUGGAACACUUCAACUAGUCAUAGUCACGUGAUUAUGAGAAAUGAAAAUAUAAAAGAAAUAGAAACAAAACCUAGAAGAAUUAAACUAGGAAAAGUUGAUAAAGGCAAUGGGUCCAAUUAUGU
This 1476-nucleotide long non-coding RNA is filed under the name Lupinus angustifolius (narrow-leaved blue lupine). RNAcentral's name for it is "long non-coding RNA (LANG_LNC003692)". The record is from RNAcentral. Lineage: Eukaryota; Viridiplantae; Streptophyta; Magnoliopsida; Fabales; Fabaceae.